AAACUCUUCUCCUCCAAAUCGCGCUGCUACGUCUCCCGCUCGCAAUGCUCUCUUAAUGACACCUCCAAUUUCCUCCAAGGUCUGACUGCCAACGAGAUGACCAUAAGUGUCGUUGACUUCCUUGAAAUGAUCGACAUCCAUCAUCAAGACACAAAACGGAUGCGACUUAACCUCAGCCUGCGCAGCUUCUCGUCUCAGUUCAGAAAAGAACGACUUACUGGUCAGCAAGCCGGUUAGCUCGUCGUGCGAGAUCAAACGAUGUAUCUGCUGCUGAAACUCGCGAUCGAUUUCGUCGA
RNAcentral lists this unclassified non-coding RNA (296 nucleotides) under uncultured fungus. RNAcentral describes it as "sequence contains ITS1". Lineage: Eukaryota; Fungi. The record is from RNAcentral.